Molecule: transfer RNA, 96 nt
Filed under: Pseudogymnoascus verrucosus
Lineage: Eukaryota; Fungi; Ascomycota; Leotiomycetes; Thelebolales; Thelebolaceae
Description: partial tRNA-Ser
Rfam family: tRNA
About the family: Transfer RNA (tRNA) molecules are approximately 80 nucleotides in length.
Source: RNAcentral
AGGCGUGGUGCCAGAGUGGUUAAUGGGUAUGACUCGAAUGCUUCAAUGCGAUAUCAUAUGGUUUCGGCCGCGUAGGUUCAAAUCCUGCCCACGUCG